RNAcentral lists this ribosomal RNA (465 nucleotides) under uncultured Klebsiella sp. RNAcentral describes it as "bacterial SSU rRNA". It matches the Rfam family "Bacterial small subunit ribosomal RNA", at positions 338 to 795 of the family's 1533-position model. Lineage: Bacteria; Pseudomonadati; Pseudomonadota; Gammaproteobacteria; Enterobacterales; Enterobacteriaceae. The record is from RNAcentral.
CCUACGGGUGGCUGCAGUGGGGAAUAUUGCACAAUGGGCGCAAGCCUGAUGCAGCCAUGCCGCGUGUGUGAAGAAGGCCUUCGGGUUGUAAAGCACUUUCAGCGGGGAGGAAGGCGGUGAGGUUAAUAUCCUCAUCGAUUGACGUUACCCGCAGAAGAAGCACCGGCUAACUCCGUGCCAGCAGCCGCGGUAAUACGGAGGGUGCAAGCGUUAAUCGGAAUUACUGGGCGUAAAGCGCACGCAGGCGGUCUGUCAAGUCGGAUGUGAAAUCCCCGGGCUCAACCUGGGAACUGCAUUCGAAACUGGCAGGCUAGAGUCUUGUAGAGGGGGGUAGAAUUCCAGGUGUAGCGGUGAAAUGCGUAGAGAUCUGGAGGAAUACCGGUGGCGAAGGCGGCCCCCUGGACAAAGACUGACGCUCAGGUGCGAAAGCGUGGGGAGCAAACAGGAUUAGAUACCCGAGUAGUC